This 201-nucleotide long non-coding RNA is filed under the name Prunus persica (peach). RNAcentral describes it as "long non-coding RNA (PPER_LNC008129)". The record is from RNAcentral. Lineage: Eukaryota; Viridiplantae; Streptophyta; Magnoliopsida; Rosales; Rosaceae.
CAACUUCCUAAGGGGAAUCAUCCUAUGGGAUAUGCAGUGCAUGCCCGGAGUCCUUCAAGGGGGACCCUGGUACUCACAAAUCUCUAAAGGAGGACAUGCAAUCAAAACAUAGGCUGGUUACUCAAGCAGUUCACAAGUCAAAUAUGCAAGUUGAAGUUGGAAAAUGUAACUGAAAUUUCCAUAACAAACAGACCAACCGGC